AAAACCGCUCCCGAUAAACCCUAAAAUUGUUUCUCAACUUCCCACUCACCACCUCCAUCUCUUUCACUCACCUCUUCUUCUAAGGAGUUGUAAGUUCAACUUCACAAAUUGUUUCCCCUUGCCGUUUGUAUUUGUUUUCUAUCUACCUCUUUCCCUUUCGAUUUUCCCAUAUUUUGGGUUCAAAUUGUGUAAUUUGGGAUUUACGUUUCUAUUUGGCUGAAUCGGAGACUCAAGAAAUAUGGAUAGGUCAGAUUUCAGUUAUCAAUUUCGAUAUAUUUUAUUCAAAUUUGGUCUUAUGAAUUUAGGUUUUUUUAAUUGCCUUAAAACAUUUUUGUUUGGUGGAAUGGAUGUUAAUUGAUGAAAAUCAAAGAUAAAUUCGUGGGACUCAGAUCCUGGUUCCAAGCUCCCGUUCAACGUUCAUGAUUUCGGAGAUACCUAAUUCUCUCAUAGGUCAGGUCAGUUCACAAUUACAAUCCCAUUAAUUUAUGUUUUUAUGCCUUUUGUUGGUGAAGCAAUCUAGGUCUAGUCUCACUUUCUUGUUAGAAAAUUUGAAUCCGGUUUUUAUUUUUUGAUUGUCGGGGUUUGAUAAUUCGAGAAUCGCAAUGGUGGUUUAUUGAUCCGUGUGAAUAAAUCUGGAAUUUGAGGUUUUAAUCAACAUUGAAAUAUACGUUUGAGUUUGUUUUAAUUUAUUUUUUACAAUAGUCCAUCCCCUUCUUUAUCAUUGUAGUAUUUUCCAGUACAAGAAUUUUUAUUUUUGUUUCUUUUUUGGUUAUUAUAUGCCAAGGACUUCUUAAUUCAUAAUUUUAGAAUACAGGGUAGAACUUUUUUUUAACUUGUAUCAUUGUAUGUGAUUUUGGGUGCAGCCAUGAGGCAUUUAGUAUUUCCGUUGAACUUCCUUCUAUUUAUGGUUUGGAAACAGAAGUCUAGUUGAAGUUAUAUCAUGUUUGAAUGAUGAUUAUAUUGAGUAAUUCUAAAUUGUUAUUCUAUGUUUUUUACUCCUGGGGUUUGCUGACCAUUUUAGGCACAAAGAAACCUUCACUAAUAUUUUCAGUUCUAAAGUAUCAAGCAUCAAGCAAAUAACUUGACCAUUUUCAACUUUUUGUUUGCUAUGAAUUACUAUAUACAAUUCAAUGCAUUUCGAAUAUACUACCAUGUACUAUUCGUUCUAUUCAGCAGAAAGAACAAGGUUUGGGUUGUACAUAUCUAAUCCCAUAUACUCUACCUUUGGAAUGAGACUCAUGACAUGCAUUGUGUAAGAUAGCCUAAUCGACCAACUUUUUGUUCAUCGAAAAAAAAAUUCAAGAGCUUUUCCAUCUCUCUUCCUCCACACUGCAGUCGAUCUGAGAAACUGAACACGAUCUUGGAGCAUCCAAAUUUCAACGAGCUUCAAUAUUUUCUCAGAUCCGAACCAGAAGAAACUAUGGCAUAUGCUUAUUCUCAACCUUGAAAAGUUCAUUGCUCUAGCCAUUUUAUAGGUUCUCCGAAUUUGGAGGUCCAGUUCACGAGCGACCUGUUGAAGAUUUGGCUUUUGCAGUUGCCCGUUUCAUACAAAGCGGUGGUUCAUACAUUUACUAUUACAUGUACCAUGGUGGAACCAACUUUAAACGAACAGCUGGCGUACCAUUCGUUACAACUAGUUAUGAUUAUGAUGCCCCAAUUGAUGAAUAUGGUAAGAAUUUGAUCUUGCAUAUUUGUGUUUUGUGGAAGUAGUGGUUUUUAAUAACAUUGAAAUCUAAGAUUGAGUUUGUUUAAUUAUUUUUUAUGAUAGUCCUGUUGCGUGUUUCUGUCUUGUUUGGCCUGCUGCUGCACUGCUGUUUCUGCAGGUGUUUGGUGUUGUUUUCAGCUGCACAGGUGCUGCUUCUUGCUGUUGCAGGGUGUGGGUUGUGCUCCUGAUUUGUGCAGGCUGUUCUGCAGGGAGUCCAGGUGCGUGCUGCAGUCAGGUCUACAGGGAGUGUGGUGUUCGAUCGCUGCUGUGUGUAAUCUUAUGUUGCGUACCCUUUUAUUGCAUUUGUUGUGUUUGGUUGUUAGGGAGUGGUCUGUACUCCUCUAACUUUUUCUGCUGUUUCGUUUAGAUACUUUUGUUCAUACCUUUUGGUAUUAAAUUUGUGUUUUGGAGAUAUAUAGCUAGCUAAUUUAAUAGUUUGGACAUGUGUAAACUUAAUUUGACGAUAUGAUAUGACGAUUUGGAGCGAGCUAAUACGUAUUAUUAUA
This is an RNA transcript of Spinacia oleracea (spinach), 2211 nucleotides long. It is a transcript of the gene named beta-galactosidase 15-like, with no coding region annotated. The transcript is spliced from 3 exons. The record is from RefSeq and is a predicted model, not a curated record. NCBI's taxonomy places the organism in Eukaryota, Viridiplantae, Streptophyta, Magnoliopsida, Caryophyllales, Amaranthaceae.